This 501-nucleotide ribosomal RNA is filed under the name uncultured bacterium. RNAcentral's name for it is "bacterial SSU rRNA". The stretch from base 1 to 426 matches the Rfam family "Bacterial small subunit ribosomal RNA", at positions 99 to 541 of the family's 1533-position model. The record is from RNAcentral.
CGGCCGCGUCGACGUAACACGUGAGUAACCUACCCUUGACUUUGGGAUAACUUCAGGAAACUGGGGCUAAUACCGGAUAGGAGCUCCUGCUGCAUGGUGGGGGUUGGAAAGUUUCGGCGGUUGGGGAUGGACUCGCGGCUUAUCAGCUUGUUGGUGGGGUAGUGGCUCACCAAGGCUUUGACGGGUAGCCGGCCUGAGAGGGUGACCGGCCACAUUGGGACUGAGAUACGGCCCAGACUCCUACGGGAGGCAGCAGUGGGAAUAUUGCACAAUGGGCGGAAGCCUGAUGCAGCAACGCCGCGUGCGGGAUGACGGCCUCGGUGUAACGACUUCGUCCUCGUGACGAAGACGUGAGUGACGGUAAGUGGUAAGGAAGACACGGCGUACUACGUGCACGCAGCGCGGUGAGUACGUAGGUGCGAGCGUGUCGGUACGUUAUUGGUCGGUCGGUACGCGGCCGACGUCGUGGGUAGGGCGAAGGACGACGACAGGGAGUAGGAG